This 757-nucleotide ribosomal RNA is filed under the name Neisseria subflava. Its description in RNAcentral is "bacterial SSU rRNA". It matches the Rfam family "Bacterial small subunit ribosomal RNA", at positions 28 to 775 of the family's 1533-position model. The record is from RNAcentral. Lineage: Bacteria; Pseudomonadati; Pseudomonadota; Betaproteobacteria; Neisseriales; Neisseriaceae.
AUUGAACGCUGGCGGCAUGCUUUACACAUGCAAGUCGGACGGCAGCACAGAGAAGCUUGCUUCUUGGGUGGCGAGUGGCGAACGGGUGAGUAACAUAUCGGAACGUACCGAGUAAUGGGGGAUAACUAAUCGAAAGAUUAGCUAAUACCGCAUAUUCUCUGAGGAGGAAAGCAGGGGACCUUCGGGCCUUGCGUUAUUCGAGCGGCCGAUAUCUGAUUAGCUAGUUGGUGGGGUAAAGGCCUACCAAGGCGACGAUCAGUAGCGGGUCUGAGAGGAUGAUCCGCCACACUGGGACUGAGACACGGCCCAGACUCCUACGGGAGGCAGCAGUGGGGAAUUUUGGACAAUGGGCGCAAGCCUGAUCCAGCCAUGCCGCGUGUCUGAAGAAGGCCUUCGGGUUGUAAAGGACUUUUGUCAGGGAAGAAAAGGCUGUUGCUAAUAUCGACAGCUGAUGACGGUACCUGAAGAAUAAGCACCGGCUAACUACGUGCCAGCAGCCGCGGUAAUACGUAGGGUGCGAGCGUUAAUCGGAAUUACUGGGCGUAAAGCGAGCGCAGACGGUUACUUAAGCAGGAUGUGAAAUCCCCGGGCUCAACCUGGGAACUGCGUUCUGAACUGGGUGACUAGAGUGUGUCAGAGGGAGGUAGAAUUCCACGUGUAGCGUGAAAUGCGUAGAGAUGUGGAGGAAUACCGAUGGCGAAGGCAGCCUCCUGGGAUAACACUGACGUUCAUGCUCGAAAGCGUGGGUAGCAACAGG